RNAcentral lists this ribosomal RNA (465 nucleotides) under uncultured bacterium. Its description in RNAcentral is "partial 16S ribosomal RNA". It matches the Rfam family "Bacterial small subunit ribosomal RNA", at positions 28 to 507 of the family's 1533-position model. The record is from RNAcentral.
GACGAACGCUGGCGGCGUGCUUAACACAUGCAAGUCGAACGGAAAGGCCCCUUUGGGGGUACUCGAGUGGCGAACGGGUGAGUAACACGUGCGUAACCUGCCCUUGACUUCGGGAUAACUUCAGGAAACUGGGGCUAAUACCGGAUAGGAAUCCUUGCUGCAUGGUGGGGGUUGGAAAGCUUCGGCGGUUUUGGAUGGACUCGCGGCUUAUCAGCUUGUUGGUGGGGUAGUGGCUUACCAAGGCUUUGACGGGUAGCCGGCCUGAGAGGGCGACCGGCCACAUUGGGACUGAGAUACGGCCCAGACUCCUACGGGAGGCAGCAGUGGGGAAUAUUGCACAAUGGGCGGAAGCCUGAUGCAGCAACGCCGCGGGCGGGAUGACGGCCUUCGGGUUGGAAACCGCUUUCAGCAGGGGCGAAGCUUGUGGUGACGGUACCUGCAGAAGAAGCACCGGCUAACUACGUG